AGAAGAAAUCGUUGAUGCGCUUGCUGCCAAGUUGGAGCGUUCUAGGUGUUUUCUUUCUUUGGAUUUUAAUUACUAAAUUUAUGUAUCGUUGCUUUGCGAGUAUGAGGAACUAAACCCCCCCUGGCUAGGGGGGGAUUCAAAACCAUGUUUAUGCUUGCUAUAUGAUUUGAUUACUUCCAGUUGCGUUUCAUAAGUUGUGAAUUUAAUUUGCUUAUCUACAAGAAUUAAAACUGAUUUGUGUAUGUUGGUUGAGAGUGCACGCUUAAUUUCAUGCAUAAGUUUGAUGUUAGGAUAUAAGGGGGUUUCACCUAAUCGUUAUGAACUCAUAUUCACAAGUAGUAAAGGUUGUUGAUCACAAUCGUGUUAAGUAAAUUCUGGCAUAAGUAUCAUGCGCUUUCAUACUCUAUGAUAUGAUUUAGAAUCUCUGGCCAGAGUAUGAAUGAGAUUUAGAAAAGUCGUUCCAAAUCACAUUCAAGGUAAUCAUAUAAGCACACGAAUCACAUUGGAUAGUAGACAUGAAUAAACUAUCAAACCAAACAAUGUGGUCAAGAGUAUUGUAUUAGAGAAAGACCGUAUUGCAUUUGUAAUCCUAAAUUGAAUAGGUUCUCUACCUCUUUUGAUUAGCUUGGGUAACCAUGAUAUGCUGCUAGGUGUCACUCUUGGUUUGUGGAAGCCCUAAACGUGUAUAAUCACUAAAGGGAGAAUUGAAAGUAAGUUUCAAUUCACAAUCGAUUUUAAAGAGUUUUAAUCGCCCAUUGCCUCGCUAAAAGGAACCUAAUGGAUUGUACACCGUGUAAGGUGGAGAUUGAAGAAACAAUGGAGAUGAGUAAGAAUAAUUAAAUGGUUUAAUUAUUUAUGGCAAGGAUUAAUUAAUAUGUUAAUUAAUCAAACGAAUAAAUUCGUUAAAGACCUCGGGAUAGUUUUGGACCUUAAGGCCCAAUGGGCUUCGAACGUCAAGCCCAUUGACUUAAGUUGUAUGACAAUUUAAUGAAUAAAGAUUCACAAAGGCCCAAAAGCCCAAAUCCCUUAUAUGGCCGGCCAUGUGUGUUGAAUUAGGGUUUUUGGUUCUUAAGUCAUUUAAAGAAGUGACUAUAUAAAGAACUUUAUAGCCUAAAAUUCAUUAAGGGUUCUUUUGGAGAAAAUUGGAGAGAACAUAUCUCUCCUUUUCUCUCUAGGAGGCCGGCCCCCUUGGAGG
This 1195-nucleotide long non-coding RNA is filed under the name Malus domestica (apple). Its description in RNAcentral is "long non-coding RNA (MDOM_LNC012661)". The record is from RNAcentral. Lineage: Eukaryota; Viridiplantae; Streptophyta; Magnoliopsida; Rosales; Rosaceae.